UGCCAUGAUCCUAAACCUUGCCGUUAGCCGUA
Molecule: non-coding RNA, 32 nt
Filed under: Homo sapiens (human)
Lineage: Eukaryota; Metazoa; Chordata; Mammalia; Primates; Hominidae
Source: RNAcentral